AUACGUAGGGGGCGAGCGUUGUCCGGAAUGAUUGGGCGUAAAGGGCGCGUAGGCGGCGCGGUAAGUCUGGAGUGAAAGUCCUGCUUUCAAGGUGGGAAUUGCUUUGGAUACUGCCGCGCUUGAGUGCAGGAGAGGUUAUCGGAAUUCCCGGUGUAGCGGUGAAAUGCGUAGAGGUCGGGAGGAACACCAGUGGCGAAGGCGGGUAACUGGACUGCAACUGACGCUGAGGCGCGAAAGUGUGGGGAGCAAACAGGAUUAGAUACCCUGGUAGUCCACACUGUAAACGAUGAAUGCUAGGUGUAAGAGGUAUCGACCCCUUUUGUGCCGGAGUCAACACAAUAAGCAUUCCGCCUGGGGAGUACGGCCGCAAGGUUGAAACUCAAAGGAAUUGGCGGGG
This 397-nucleotide ribosomal RNA is filed under the name uncultured bacterium. Its description in RNAcentral is "partial 16S ribosomal RNA". It matches the Rfam family "Bacterial small subunit ribosomal RNA", at positions 523 to 918 of the family's 1533-position model. The record is from RNAcentral.